Molecule: long non-coding RNA, 241 nt
Filed under: Bos taurus (domestic cattle)
Lineage: Eukaryota; Metazoa; Chordata; Mammalia; Artiodactyla; Bovidae
Description: long non-coding RNA NONBTAT024860
Source: RNAcentral
GGAUCAAAAGCAGAAAUUUAGAAAAGACUAAAUGUCCUGUUAAUCACAAGAGAAUCAAGGGGACUACUUGAAAAUAGAGGGUGUUUGGAACUUUCAUGAUUCAGUUUAAGAGGAUUUAGGUAAACUUAUUCUGCUUAAUGAUCAUGAAGCUGCAGAGAUCUCCACAAUUACUCUGUAGCUAAGCCAUUUAAUAAAAAUGUCAUUGCUUCCUUGAUACUGAGGAAGCACAAAGGCAGCAAAA